AUCAUGGCUCAGAUUGAACGCUGGCGGAAUGCUUUACACAUGCAAGUCGAGCGGCAGCGCGGGGGCAACCCUGGCGGCGAGCGGCGAACGGGUGAGUAAUGUAUCGGAACGUACCCAGUCGUGGGGGAUAACUAUCCGAAAGGAUAGCUAAUACCGCAUACGUCCUGAGGGAGAAAGCGGGGGACCGAAAGGCCUCGCGCGAUUGGAGCGGCCGAUAUCGGAUUAGCUAGUUGGUGAGGUAAAGGCUCACCAAGGCGACGAUCCGUAGCUGGUCUGAGAGGACGACCAGCCACACUGGAACUGAGACACGGUCCAGACUCCUACGGGAGGCAGCAGUGGGGAAUUUUGGACAAUGGGGGCAACCCUGAUCCAGCCAUUCCGCGUGAGUGAAGAAGGCCUUCGGGUUGUAAAGCUCUUUCAGCAGGAACGAAACGGUGGUCCUUAAUACGGGCUGCUAAUGACGGUACCUGAAGAAGAAGCACCGGCUAACUACGUGCCGGCAGCCGCGGUAAUACGUAGGGUGCGAGCGUUAAUCGGAAUUACUGGGGGUAAAGCGUGCGCAGGCGGUUUGUUAAGAUAGGCGUGAAAUCCCCGGGCUCAACCUGGGAACUGCGUUUAUGACUGGCAGGCUAGAGUAUGGCAGAGGGGGGUGGAAUUCCACGUGUAGCAGUGAAAUGCGUA
Molecule: ribosomal RNA, 681 nt
Filed under: uncultured bacterium
Lineage: Bacteria
Description: bacterial SSU rRNA
Rfam family: Bacterial small subunit ribosomal RNA
Source: RNAcentral